This 388-nucleotide ribosomal RNA is filed under the name Gephyrocapsa cf. oceanica. Its description in RNAcentral is "partial small subunit ribosomal RNA". It matches the Rfam family "Eukaryotic small subunit ribosomal RNA", at positions 582 to 975 of the family's 1831-position model. The record is from RNAcentral. Lineage: Eukaryota; Haptophyta; Isochrysidales; Noelaerhabdaceae.
AUUCCAGCUCCAAUAGCGUAUAUUAAAGUUGUUGCAGUUAAAACGCUCGUAGUCGGAUUUCGGGGCGGGCCGACCGGUCUGCCGAUGGGUAUGCACUGGCCGGCGCGUCCUUCCACCCGGAGACCGCGCCUACUCUUAACUGAGCGGGCGCGGGAGACGGGUCUUUUACUUUGAAAAAAUCAGAGUGUUUCAAGCAGGCAGUCGCUCUUGCAUGGAUUAGCAUGGGAUAAUGAAAUAGGGCUCUGGUGCUAUUUUGUUGGUUUCGAACACCGGAGUAAUGAUUAAUAGGGAUAGUUGGGGGUAUUCAUAUUUAAUUGUCAGAGGUGAAAUUCUUGGAUUUAUGAAAGAUGAACUUAUGCGAAAGCAUUUACCAAGGAUGUUCUCAUUA